AAAGAUAUUCAUAUGACAUACAAAUAAUCUCUCAUACAUUUAACUCAAAAGCAAACACAAGAUAAAUAAUGCCAGGUCAGAGAAGGCAGUGGGUGAUAAUCCGAGCUACUUUAUCCAUUCUUCACUGAAUAAACUUCGAAGGAAUCAAUUCACCGAAUAAAUCAAAUCACUGAGCUUGAGAGACCAGCCUUAUAAAUUGUAGGGCUGACAAACACCAGAUUAUGACAUGUCGGAUUGCACGGAAAUGGACAAUCUAUUUCGUUUACUACUCUGCGAUCGAAAUACCAAUCUCCGACUGCCUCUGCAAUUGUCUGCUAAAAAAUAAAAAAUAAAAAAUAAAAGAAGAAGUAAAAGAACACAAGUAAGCUGGAGUUAGCCAUUCCAUGAAAUGCGAAUAGAAAUAAAUAAUGUUAUUAUCGUGAAAAGUAAAUAAUAAAUGAAAAAAAAUCAACACUACCUACACUAAGAAAAGAGGAGAUGAGCUAGCAACCAUCAUCAGUAGAAACUUUAUAUGAAAAAAAUUCAUGCCAACAGGUUUUUGAUUUGUACGAAGGUCCUGUUAUUUUUGUUCCAUUGAUUCAUUGUAGAGGCCUUAGCAACAAGUAAUUACUAUUGCAAUUGCAAACUAAGAAGUAAGAAUAAUAGUGGUAGGACUGAGGAAACCACAUAAGAGAAUUUGUUUGAACAUUAGAAAGGAGCUUGAUCUGCUAUUAGUCUAGGGCCCUAAACAUUAUCAAAACAGAUUGCUUAUGUAAAAUGAUUUGAAAGCCAGCUUAUAUUUCUCCAAUAUUCUUACAUGCAGAUGUACUGUGAAACCAGGAAGUAGUGCAAACUAUUUACCAAGGUGUUAAGCCUCAUCAUGGUAAAAAAGUGCAGUAGCAUGUGAUUUAUUAAUUACCAGCAUACCAGCUUAGUCUCAAAUUUCUUUUUAUUGUUGACGUAUCAGAUUAUUCUAGAGAAAGAUAUUGAUUUCCUGACUAUAUAGUAUACAAAUAGCUUCGACAACCAAUAACCCUGCUAGCAUGCCAGAAUACAGUAUCAUAUAAUAAUAAGUUCUGUACAAAAGAACUAAAAAAGUUGAAACAACACAAUGAACUAGGACGGUGAUUGCUACCUUAUUGUUGAGUCUGGGAGAAGAUGGCGAGUGCCAGGUGUUAUUAGUCAAUGUUUGACAGUGUACAAAACAAGAAUCUAUGAACAUGCCCCACGCCCUUUUCUUCUUCACUUCACUCAAGGCAUCAAGCAAAUCUGCCCUAAAACCUGUAAAAAGUUCUUUCACUGGUUUUAAGCUUUAAAAUUUAAUAGAUUCAAAAACAGAAAAAAGCAAAUUUUAUGGAAUAUUCCGGCAAAACAACCAACUUAAAUACAGAUAUAUACCCCUGUAAGAUCCACACUUUCAUUUAUGAUGUUGAAAGUGCAGCUCCAUAUAAAAUCACCUCAAAUAGGAGAGUCAUCCAAUUCAAGGGAUGAAGUUGAUUCUGUAUUAGAAAUUACUUUUAGCAGGAGAAUUUUGUAUUUAAGCACAUGUAAUUAAGUUUUAAGGGAUAUUUGAAUAUCCAGAUUUUGCAGGGACNUUGGAGCCCGAUCCAAAUCCCCUCUGGAGAUGGUACCCCGCCGGGCUCCCAUCUAAGCACACUGCAAAAAGCAAAACCCUAACAACUAAGGGCGAAGAUAACAACAACAAAAUUCGACAGCAACAUGAACACACGAAUCAAAUCUCACGUACACGCGCCCUUCUCUUUCGCGUUCUUUAGGAGGGUGAGAUCGACGAGAUCGGCGGAGUCCGAGGAGAAGCUCCGCGGCGCCUCAUCGUCCCGAGGCCACGAGCUGAGGGUGAGGACGAGAGCAGCGGAGACGACCACGAAGGCUCCGGCGGCGGCGGCGGCGGCGGAGAGGCGGCGCCGCCGCCACCAGAGGCGGAGUCGGUGGGCGACCAUGGCUGCGGAAUUUAGGGUUUGGGGGUGAAGUGAGAGGACGCAACGAUCGCGCCAGAGUCGAUCGGAGGAGUCUUAGAUCUGAGGAAGAAGCCGAUUGACUGUUGGAGGCGACUUUCUUCCGCCGCGGCUUUUUCGCACCAAACGGGCCAGUGCUUUUUUAGUAGAAUUCGGCGCCGUGUAACUUCGGUCACCGAGUUUCGUUUUAUUCAGUAGUCGGAUUUCAACCUGGCGUUGCUGCCGAUGCCGAUCUCUGUGCAGGUUCGCCCAAGAAGUCGACAAAAGAUAAACGUUCAUACGCCGUAUUCAAAUAAAACACCAAGGUUUUCUCACUUUAUUUAUUUAUUAUUUAGUUUAUGCUUUGGUGGGUGAUUGCUUGGUUUAUUACUUUUUUAUUUUUUUGGAAGAUGAUUCGCGUAAAAUGAGCAAUCCAAGUUUCAGUAAGAGAUAAUUACUUAUAGACCCCUCAAAACUUCUAAAAAUACUAUUUUUUAUUUCCGAAAACAACUCAAUUUUCAUUCAAACGUAAAAUUGAUCUAAUUUUUAAUUAUACAUGAAUUUAUAGUUAUCCCUGAAAUAAAAAGUGUUUACUUAUAUCCGAACCAAGAGUUCUAACAAUAAGAAAAAUGCAAAGAACUUCUUGUUACAUGUCCAUUCACAGAGUGAUGGCAUGGAGCAUCGGUAGCACGUUCUCGAAUAAUUGAGUACCUUGAAAAUUGCUAAAGAUAUUCAUAUGACAUACAAAUAAUCUCUCAUACAUUUAACUCAAAAGCAAACACAAGAUAAAUAAUGCCAGUUCGGAGCAGGCAGUGGGUGAUAAUCCGAGCUACUUUAUCCAUACUUCACUGAAUAAACUUCGAAGGAAUCAAUUCACCGAAUAAAUCUAAUCACUGAGCUUGAGAGACCAGUCUUAUAAAUUGU
RNAcentral lists this long non-coding RNA (2855 nucleotides) under Ananas comosus (pineapple). RNAcentral's name for it is "long non-coding RNA (ACOM_LNC007952)". The record is from RNAcentral. Lineage: Eukaryota; Viridiplantae; Streptophyta; Magnoliopsida; Poales; Bromeliaceae.